Long non-coding RNA from Mastomys coucha (southern multimammate mouse), 688 nucleotides. RefSeq lists it as uncharacterized. Lineage: Eukaryota; Metazoa; Chordata; Mammalia; Rodentia; Muridae. The record is from RefSeq and is a predicted model, not a curated record. The transcript is spliced from 2 exons.
UAUUUUGUUGCUACUUUGUAACUGUUUUUGUUUUGUUCUGCUACUGUUAUGACUCAUAAUGUCUGACAAUCUGAGUUCUAUCUCUAGGACCCAUACAGGAGUUAGGAGAGAACUGACUCCACAAAGUUCUCCCCUUAUCUUUACAUGUAUGUCCAUAUAAGUGCCAUCUACACACCCACAAUAAUUAACUAAUUUUCUUUUAUAGGCACGUUGAUAAACACCACUCCAGUUACAGAAUUUAGGACCUCUGGAGCUAAACUCAGUAUUUGGUGUUUCAGCAAACUUCUGGGAGACAUUCUCACACACACUGAAGUUAAACAACAGGGCUCUCAUGUUAGGCUCUGAAGGAAGAAAUGCCUCUGGGAGAAACUGGACUAAAGUUGUUCCGAUGUUAACACUGCUGUUGCAACCUAGCAGAAAAGGGAAUAUGAGAUCUGCCUUCUCUGGACACAGGCCAGACUUGUGACAUCUUUGACCCGGUGGACAAUCAACCUGAGAAGACCCUUGACCACAAGCAAAAAGUUUCCCAAACACCAUUUUCUCUAUCCUGAUCUCCUGCUACCCUCAAUAAUUCAUGCUGAAUUUCCAAUUAUACCUGCAAUACAUAUGAAGUCCAGUCUUUUUACUACACAAGCAUCUUCACUUAAAUGUCUGAAAAGGUUGAAGCAUCCGAGAAUAAUAAAGACAC